Molecule: ribosomal RNA, 384 nt
Filed under: Dermacentor variabilis (American dog tick)
Lineage: Eukaryota; Metazoa; Arthropoda; Arachnida; Ixodida; Ixodidae
Description: partial large subunit ribosomal RNA
Source: RNAcentral
UAUUGUAAUAAGAUUUUAAUUGAAUGCUAAGAGAAUGGAAUUACAGGGAAUAACUAUUUAAAACUUAAAAAUUAAAAUUAUUUUAAUUUGUGAAGAAACAAUUAUUAAAAUUAAGGACAAGAAGACCCUAAGAAUUUUAAAAUAAUUAAUUUCUUAUAAGAAAUUAAUUAUUUUUAGUUGGGGCAACUAGAAAAUAUUAUAAACUUUUUAUAUAAUAAAAUGACCCAUUAUUAAUGAUUAUUUGAGAAAAAUACUCUAGGGAUAACAGCGUAAUAAUUUUUGAUAGAGCCUAUAGACAAAAUAGUUUGCGACCUCGAUGUUGGAUUAGGAUACUUUUUUAAUGAAGAUGUUAAAAAAAGAAGUUUGUUCAACUUUUAAAGUCCU